This 252-nucleotide ribosomal RNA is filed under the name uncultured bacterium. RNAcentral describes it as "partial 16S ribosomal RNA". It matches the Rfam family "Bacterial small subunit ribosomal RNA", at positions 524 to 775 of the family's 1533-position model. The record is from RNAcentral.
UACAGAGGUCUCAAGCGUUGUUCGGAUUCAUUGGGCGUAAAGGGCGCGUAGGCGGCGGGGUAAGUCGGGUGUGAAAUCUCAGAGCUCAACUCUGAAACUGCACUCGAUACUGCUUUGCUAGAGGACUGGAGAGGAGAUUGGAAUUCACGGUGUAGCAGUGAAAUGCGUAGAGAUCGUGAGGAAGACCAGUGGCGAAGGCGGAUCUCUGGACAGUAACUGACGCUGAGGAGCGAAAGCGUGGGGAGCGAACAG